Molecule: long non-coding RNA, 272 nt
Organism: Rana temporaria (common frog)
Lineage: Eukaryota; Metazoa; Chordata; Amphibia; Anura; Ranidae
Exons: 3
Source: RefSeq, a predicted model, not a curated record
GGAGGAAGUAGAGAGACGACGUUGGAAGUGGCAGCAGAGGAGUGCCUUCACCUCAUUCCCUGAAACAUGAGAGAAUCAAUGAGAAGAAGAUUCUAGAAGUCACCAACAGGAUCAUCGAUCUGCUGACAGGAGAGGUUCCUAUAAGGUGUCGGGAUGUCACUGUCUAUUUCUCCAUGAAGGAGUGGGAUUGUUUAGAAGGACACGAGGAUCUCUACAAGGACAUCAUGAUGGAGAAUCAGCCGCCCCUCACAUCACCGGGUAAGAGGAGACUU